CCGGCCAGCGGAGUCAGACCUGGAGCUUCUUGGUGUGUGGGCGGGGUUUGUGUUGUCUGGUGAUUCGAAAUUGGCUGUUGGUGAAUGUGGGUAAGAAAGGUUGUUGGUCCUGUGAGAGACUGUACCACGUCUCUCACUCUAGGACAGCCGGGACAAACUUCAUCCCCGAACCGGAUAACGAGGAUGGACGGGUGGACAGGCGAACCUCUGUCUCAAAAAGUAUCGAAUGUGUCAAUAAAAAUAGUUAGAACUAUGUGUUAGAUCAAAAUUAGUACAAAGGCAACAUAUGAAAGGACAAAAUUGUGAAACCAAACAACAGCAGGAGAUUGAGCGGCUGUAACCACAGGGUUUUGGUCUGUACCGUCAACUGGAUGGAGCAUGUCUGCAGAGAAUGCCACUCAAGAAUGCAGAUUCAAGUGGCCCUGCGAAGAUGAGCGAAGGCUGUUCUGCACGGCGAUCGCCUCUAACACCGACAUCUUCCAUCUGAUAACGUCUUAUUAACCAAAGGUCACCAUCGACUGUGUCUCUACAUCCAACCCAGCUGAGGAGAACUUUGCUAGAUGUUGAGAUUUGGUGGAAAGAUGAAAGGUCAAAGUUGUCUUUUCUGGUUGUAUAAGGAAGUCAUUUCAACUCAAAAUUUAGUUGAACAGUGAAAGCACAUCUCUUCCUCCUGAACACCUCUGCACCUCUGACCAGCAGCUUCUUACGAGGAUAUGUUUUCACUGUCCAGAGGCUUAUUAUGAAUAAGAUCAGCAAAGGAGAAUCAUUUCCAUUUAGACGCCGCGUACACUGUUAUAUAGUAGGUAAUACUUGACUGUGUAAGUUGGUCAGAACUGCCAAUCAAGCGCAAUAAAAAAGAUAAAAGACAAGAA
This is a long non-coding RNA of Pundamilia nyererei, 872 nucleotides long. RefSeq lists it as uncharacterized. The record is from RefSeq and is a predicted model, not a curated record. NCBI's taxonomy places the organism in Eukaryota, Metazoa, Chordata, Actinopteri, Cichliformes, Cichlidae. The transcript is spliced from 2 exons.